RNAcentral lists this ribosomal RNA (20 nucleotides) under Calocybe convexa. RNAcentral describes it as "partial 18S ribosomal RNA". Lineage: Eukaryota; Fungi; Basidiomycota; Agaricomycetes; Agaricales; Lyophyllaceae. The record is from RNAcentral.
CCGCAGGGGACUGCGGAGGA